GGUCAGGUAGCCAAGUUGGUAAGGCGUUGGUCUGCAAAACCGAUUAGCGCGGGUUCAAAUCCCGCCCUGACCU
Molecule: transfer RNA, 73 nt
Filed under: Nostoc sp.
Lineage: Bacteria; Bacillati; Cyanobacteriota; Cyanophyceae; Nostocales; Nostocaceae
Also listed under: 3 other names
Description: tRNA-Cys
Rfam family: tRNA
About the family: Transfer RNA (tRNA) molecules are approximately 80 nucleotides in length. Their secondary structure includes four short double-helical elements and three loops (D, anti-codon, and T loops).
Source: RNAcentral